Long non-coding RNA from Schistocerca serialis cubense, 652 nucleotides. RefSeq lists it as uncharacterized. The record is from RefSeq and is a predicted model, not a curated record. Lineage: Eukaryota; Metazoa; Arthropoda; Insecta; Orthoptera; Acrididae. The transcript is spliced from 2 exons.
GGGGGAGGGGGGGGGGGGGGGGGGGGGGGAAGACAAAGACCACACUCUAAGCAAAGCAAGGAAUUUGUAAAGACAGUGGAAAUUUCUGAAAUGGCUACCUUUCCAUCACCAGCUACGCAAUCAUCCCAGUCAGCUUCAGACUUUUCAAGGUGCACGACUGUUUACUGCAGCAUAGUGUGUAGGAUUUUCUUAAUCUGAGAUCCAACCUAAUGGAACUAUUAAGGGAAUGAUUGUAGUAAUUAAGUUUUUUCUUAAAGCUCAGGCCUAGCCUGACUGCUGAAAUAUAUUAAGUUUUUUUGUUGUAGCUCGGAUCUGGCCCGAUUAUUCCCGGCGGAGUCAGGGAUUUUCCCUGCCUCGUGAUGACUGGGUGUUGUGUGAUGUCCUUAGGUUAGUUAGGUUUAAUUAGUUCUAAGUUCUAGGGGACUGAUGACCAUAGAUGUUAAGUCCCAUAGUGCUCAGAGCCAUUUUCUAACCCAAUUAUUGAAAUAAGUUUUUUCUUAAAGCUCAGACCAAACUUACUAUUGAAAUAUAAAAGUUCUUCUUUAAAUUGGGCUAUCCCAACAAUGUGGAUACUUAUUGUGUAUGUUGCACAAGUUUCUGGGAAAUGUGAAUUAUCUUUUCUUAAAAUGUAAACUACAUUUUAUAUUCUGCA